AUCAACUUUCGAUGGUAGGAUAGAGGCCUACCAUGGUGGUAACGGGUAACGGGGUGUUAGGGCACGACACCGGAGAGGGAGCCUGAGAAACGGCUACCACAUCCAAGGAAGGCAGCAGGCGCGCAAAUUACCCAAUCCCGACAUGGGGAGGUAGUGACAAUAAAUAACAAUACAGGGUUCUUUUGGAUCUUGUAAUUGGAAUGAGUACAAUUUAAAUCUCUUAACGAGGAACAAUUGGAGGGCAAGUCUGGCGCCAGCAGCCGCGGUAAUUCCAGCUCCAAUAGCGUAUAUUAAAGUUGUUGCAGUUAAAAAGCUCGUAGUUGAAUUUCGGGAUCAAAGAAUCGGUCAUGCCUUGGUAUGUACUGGUUUUAUUGGUUCUCACCUUCUAAAGAACCAUAAUGUCAUUCAUUUGAUGUUAUGGGGAAUUAGGACUGUUACCUUGAAAAAAUUAGAGUGUUUAAAGCAGGCUUACGCUUGAAUACAUUAGCAUGGAAUAAUGAAAUAGGACAUCAGAUUCUAUUUUGUUGGUUUCUAGGAUCGAUGUAAUGAUUAAUAGGGAUAGUUGGGGGCAUUAGUAUUCAAUUGUCAGAGGUGAAAUUCUUGGAUUUAUUGAAGACUAACUACUGCGAAAGCAUUUGCCAAGGAUGUUUUCAUUAAUCAAGAACGAAAGUUAGGGGAUCGAAGACGAUCAGAUACCGUCGUAGUCUUAACCAUAAACUAUGCCGACUAGGGAUCGGAUGAUGUUUAUUUUUUAGUGACUCAUUCGGCACCUUACGGGAAACCAAAGUGUUUGGGUUC
This 798-nucleotide ribosomal RNA is filed under the name uncultured Septoglomus. RNAcentral describes it as "SSU rRNA". It matches the Rfam family "Eukaryotic small subunit ribosomal RNA", at positions 314 to 1114 of the family's 1831-position model. Lineage: Eukaryota; Fungi; Glomeromycota; Glomeromycetes; Glomerales; Glomeraceae. The record is from RNAcentral.